GUGAGGAAUAUUGCGCAAUGGAGGCAACUCUGACGCAGCCAUGCCGCGUGCAGGAAGAAGGCGCUACGCGUUGUAAACUGCUUUUAACCGGGAAGAAACCCCAGGACGUGUCCUGGGUUGACGGUACCGGAGGAAUAAGCACCGGCUAACUUCGUGCCAGCAGCCGCGGUAAUACGAAGGGUGCAAGCGUUAUCCGGAUUCAUUGGGUUUAAAGGGUGCGUAGGCGGAGCGUUAAGUCAGUGGUGAAAUCCUGCAGCUUAACUGUAGACUUGCCAUUGAUACUGGCGCUCUUGAGUGCGCUUGAAGUGGGCGGAAUGUGCCGUGGAGCGGUGAAAUGCUUAGAUAUGGCACAGAACACCAAUUGCGAAGGCAGCUCACUAAGGCGAUACUGACGCUGAGGCACGAAAGCGUGGGGAGCAAACAGGAUUAGAAACCCGGGUAGUCC
RNAcentral lists this ribosomal RNA (445 nucleotides) under uncultured bacterium. RNAcentral describes it as "partial 16S ribosomal RNA". It matches the Rfam family "Bacterial small subunit ribosomal RNA", at positions 354 to 796 of the family's 1533-position model. The record is from RNAcentral.